AUGGCGCCCUCACCUGCGCCGCGAGAUCUCCCCGUCGCCGGCACCGCUGCCCUGCCGCGCCUGAGUCUCCUUGUGCGCCUCCCUGCUUCGUCCGGCCGCCGCGCCGCCAAGCACCUCCACCGCGCCCCGCCCUCGACCUCGGAUUCUGCGCCCCAUGGCCACGAGCGCCACCAGCAGCAGUUCAGGCGUCCCCGUCGCCGAGCCCCUCGCCGCCCUUCUGCACCUCGUCUCCGGCCCUGCCCGUCGGAGCCCCGCCUCCCGGUGCCCGCAACUGAGUCGCGCCCGUCGACUAGCGAUGCUCCGGCCGCUUUCGCCGGAGUAUCACCAGGGAGCCGGGCCCCUAUGCGCCAGCGCCGCGACUCCCUCCUAUGCUCGCGAGCCUUGCUUCGCUACUCCACCUCCCUGGCCUCGCUGCCUCCGCAAGGCACCAGUAGCUCGUCCACUUCGCCGUUCAGAGCCGCUGCGCCUUCGGCCUAUCACAUGGUGAAGGAAACGAGCAGGAGCAAGCCCCAUCGAGCUCCUUCAAAAGUUGUCCGAGUCCUGGACAAAAACCGCCCAAGUCGUCGCCUCCUUGCACCAUGCAGUGUCACUGUGGACGCAUGCACCACUGGAUCGGAACCGCGAGCACCAAGUACCACUACAAACCCGAGGAAUUCGGAUGCAUCAAGUCCCCGAGAAGACCCGUUUUUCGUCAAGUUCGACUACCCCGCAAGACCCGGAGCGCCAAGUACCUCUACCGCCUUCUUCGGAAUCCUAAGAAUGCCAAGUACUUCGUCACCCGGCACCUAA
This 789-nucleotide ribosomal RNA is filed under the name Triticum aestivum (bread wheat). RNAcentral describes it as "partial small subunit ribosomal RNA". The record is from RNAcentral. Lineage: Eukaryota; Viridiplantae; Streptophyta; Magnoliopsida; Poales; Poaceae.